This 23-nucleotide non-coding RNA is filed under the name Cricetulus griseus (Chinese hamster). The record is from RNAcentral. Lineage: Eukaryota; Metazoa; Chordata; Mammalia; Rodentia; Cricetidae.
CAUAAAGACCCAAGUGAACAGCG